GUGCCAGCAGCCGCGGUAAUACGUAGGGCGCAAGCGUUGUCCGGAAUUAUUGGGCGUAAAGAGCUCGUAGGCGGUUGUCGCGUCUGCUGUGAAAACCCGAGGCUCAACCUCGGGCCUGCAGUGGGUACGGGCAGACUAGAGUGCGGUAGGGGAGACUGGAACUCCUGGGUGUAGCGGUGGAAUGCGCAGAUAUCAGGAAGAACACCAAUGGCGAAGGCAGGUCUCUGGGCCGUAACUGACGCUGAGGAGCGAAAGCAUGGGGAGCGAACAGGAUUAGAUACCCUGGUAGUCCAUGCCGUAAACGUUGGGCGCUAGACGUGGGGACCUUUCCACGGUUCCGUGUCGUAGCUAACGCAUUAAGCGCCCCGCCUGGGGAGUACGGCCGCAAGGCUAAAACUCAAAGGAAUUGACGGGGCCCGCACAAGCGGCGGAGCAUGCGGAUUAAUUCGAUGCAACGCGAAGAACCUUACCAAGGCUUGACAUAUAGAGGAAACGGCUAGAGAUAGUCGCCCCGCAAGGUCUCUAUACAGGUGG
Molecule: ribosomal RNA, 534 nt
Filed under: uncultured Pseudoclavibacter sp.
Lineage: Bacteria; Bacillati; Actinomycetota; Actinomycetes; Micrococcales; Microbacteriaceae
Description: bacterial SSU rRNA
Rfam family: Bacterial small subunit ribosomal RNA
Source: RNAcentral